AGUGAACGCUGGCGGUAGGCCUAACACAUGCAAGUCGAACGGCAGCACAGUAAGAGCUUGCUCUUACGGGUGGCGAGUGGCGGACGGGUGAGGAAUACAUCGGAAUCUACUUUUUCGUGGGGGAUAACGUAGGGAAACUUACGCUAAUACCGCAUACGACCUACGGGUGAAAGCAGGGGAUCUUCGGACCUUGCGCGAUUGAAUGAGCCGAUGUCGGAUUAGCUAGUUGGCGGGGUAAAGGCCCACCAAGGCGACGAUCCGUAGCUGGUCUGAGAGGAUGAUCAGCGUCACUGGGAUUGAGACGCGGUCCAGACUCCUACGGGAGGAAGCAGUGGGGAAUAUUGGACAAUGGGCGCAAGCCUGAUCCAGCCAUACCGCGUGGGUGAAGAAGGCCUUCGGGUUGUAAAGCCCUUUUGUUGGGAAAGAAAAGCAGCAGGUUAAUACCCCGCUGUUCUGACGGUACCCAAAGAAUAAGCACCGGCUAACUUCGUG
Molecule: ribosomal RNA, 492 nt
Filed under: uncultured bacterium
Lineage: Bacteria
Description: partial 16S ribosomal RNA
Rfam family: Bacterial small subunit ribosomal RNA
Source: RNAcentral